UGGACAAAAUGAAGCCUCCUGCCUGU
Molecule: non-coding RNA, 26 nt
Filed under: Rattus norvegicus (Norway rat)
Lineage: Eukaryota; Metazoa; Chordata; Mammalia; Rodentia; Muridae
Source: RNAcentral